UAAUCGGUAGGUAUUUGAACUGUAUUGUGCACCUUACAUAAGUAAAAGCACUAAAAAAGGAGUAA
This 65-nucleotide non-coding RNA is filed under the name uncultured Candidatus Pelagibacter sp. Its description in RNAcentral is "SAM-V riboswitch". It matches the Rfam family "SAM-V (S-adenosyl methionine) riboswitch aptamer". From Rfam's summary of the family: SAM-V riboswitch is a cis-regulatory element that was recognised in marine bacteria it recognise S-adenosylmethione (SAM). The binding of SAM leads to the association of the triplex third strand in the aptamer of SAM-V riboswitch that stabilizes a short helix and occludes the ribosome binding site. Lineage: Bacteria; Pseudomonadati; Pseudomonadota; Alphaproteobacteria; Candidatus Pelagibacterales; Candidatus Pelagibacteraceae. The record is from RNAcentral.